UGGUAGACGCGGCGGAUUCAAAAUCCGUUUUCGAAAGAAGUGGGAGUUCGAUUCUCCCUCGGGGCACCACC
Molecule: transfer RNA, 71 nt
Filed under: Pseudomonas amygdali pv. mori
Lineage: Bacteria; Pseudomonadati; Pseudomonadota; Gammaproteobacteria; Pseudomonadales; Pseudomonadaceae
Also listed under: 2 other names
Description: partial tRNA-Leu
Rfam family: tRNA
About the family: Transfer RNA (tRNA) molecules are approximately 80 nucleotides in length. Their secondary structure includes four short double-helical elements and three loops (D, anti-codon, and T loops).
Source: RNAcentral